This is a long non-coding RNA of Stegodyphus dumicola, 627 nucleotides long. RefSeq lists it as uncharacterized. The record is from RefSeq and is a predicted model, not a curated record. Lineage: Eukaryota; Metazoa; Arthropoda; Arachnida; Araneae; Eresidae.
UAUGUGCAGAUCUGAGAUACCUGGUCCUGGCAUCCCAUCUUAGGAGGAGGAGGGAGAGAGAAGUGAGAAAGUUUGGCAAUGUUGCAAGUCGUCUCGACGGAUGCUUCUUCACCUGCCCUCAUCUGAUUUUACUAAGCAAAAGUUAUGUACAAUUAAAUUGUACAACACUUGAUUAUACAACACUUGAUAGCUGUCUGCCUAAGAGAAAGGAGGAGGACUUUAUGUUAACAACAUUGCUAGUCCCGUUAGACAUAGGAAAACCAUCGAAAAUGGUCAUGCAGCCAGACACUCCACGGGGAUUUGAACCUUGAUCAAACUACCAACUUGAGACGUUUUAUCUGCUUUCCCUGAAUGAAGCACCUUCGUUGAGAAAAAACACCUUAAAACAAAAACAACUCAUAUUUACGUUACAGAAAGCUGAAACCAUGCCCAAGUUUCUAUCAAAAAUUAUACAGUAUAAAAAUAGCCUAUUUUCUAAAUUUUCAUUUGCUAUGGAUUAAAUAAAUUACUUAAUAAGCAGCGACCCUUCAUCCAAACAUGAGAAAUAAAGGAAAAGUGAAACAUGAAAGUUGUUAUCAAAUUGAAACAAAUAAAUAUUAUUAAUUUCGAGUAAAAAUAAGAACCUCA